Molecule: ribosomal RNA, 446 nt
Filed under: uncultured bacterium
Lineage: Bacteria
Description: partial 16S ribosomal RNA
Rfam family: Bacterial small subunit ribosomal RNA
Source: RNAcentral
CCUACGGGUGGCAGCAGUCGAGAAUCAUUCACAAUGGGGGAAACCCUGAUGGUGCGACGCCGCGUGGGGGAAUGAAGGUCUUCGGAUUGUAAACCCCUGUCAUGUGGGAGCAAAUUAAAAAGAUAGUACCACAAGAGGAAGAGACGGCUAACUCGGUGCCAGCAGCCGCGGUAAUACAGAGGUCUCAAGCGUUGUUCGGAAUCAAUGGGCGUAAAGCGUGCGGAGGCUGUUUCGUAAGUAGUGUGUGAAAGGCGAGGGCUCAACCCGCGGAUGGCACAUGAUACUGGGAGACUAGAGUAAUGGAGGGGGAACCGGAAUUCUCGGUGUAGCAGUGAAAUGCGUAGAUAUCGAGAGGAACACUCGUGGCGAAGGCGGGUUCCUGGACAUUAACUGACGCUGAGGCACGAAGGCCAGGGGAGCGAAAGGGAUUAGAUACCCUAGUAGUC